Molecule: long non-coding RNA, 343 nt
Filed under: Zostera marina
Lineage: Eukaryota; Viridiplantae; Streptophyta; Magnoliopsida; Alismatales; Zosteraceae
Description: long non-coding RNA (ZMAR_LNC001711)
Source: RNAcentral
UAUUGGCCUUAGGUGGUCGACCUACUGGCCUUUUAGUUUUUGAGUUGCCAGGUUGUUGCCCUGGCGCCUCCUGAGAAUUCGCUCCUCCUCCUUGGGAAGUGCUUCGAGUUACCACCAUCCUGGAGUGUUCGACUUUUCUUAGAAGGAGUGUUCGACUUUUGCUUGGGGAGAAAAGUCGAUCUUCAAAAAGUCGAUCCCUAGUGCACUUGGAGGAUUCCUUGGAAGCCGAUGUUCGAAAGCCUAGCUCCUUGAGGGGUCGACUUUUCUUCGGAAGAAAAAAGUCGAUCUCCUGAAAUGUCGAUCCCUUGCUGGCUGAUUUCCUCGCAAAACUUCCUAGCUGGCG